UUUGUGUUUUUUUUUCUUCUUCUUUUCUUUCUCUUUCCAUUUCUCUUUUCUUUUCUCUUUUUCUUUUUUCUUUUUCUCUUACCUUGCUUCUUUCUCUUUACAAAAGAGAAGAGAAGCACUUCUUCGAUUCAGCUCGAAGGCGUGCACCCUUUCGAAUUACCACGGUUCGAUUCACAUCUGCAACACCAAUGUACAGGAAAAGUACGAGGAGGAGAUGAAGAGAUGAAGAGAAAAAGGGCGACGUAGAAAUUCUCAGAGAAUCGAGAAGUCGAUGCACCGCCACGUUGGAAUGGGAUUGCGAGAAGCUGAACGAAUAUUUAAAGAAAUGUGUUACGUAAAAUUUCAAUUUUACGACGACGACGACGACGACGACUAUGAAGACCGACGAUGGGACUAAUGGGACUAAUGGGACCGACGAUGAUGACCGAAUGGAAUCGACGAUCGAAGGAACGAAGGAAGAAAAGAUGGAAGGAAGGAAGGAAGGAAGGAAGGAAGGAAGGAUGGGUUGGAAGGAAGUCGAGACAACGGUAACGCUAAUGGUUUAGAUUCUUCUUCCUUGAUUCUAGAUCUGUAGGAUAGGUUUGCAAUCGACAGUCAGAGUUUCGUUCUCCGAUUAAACAAGUUGUGAGUUUCUGUAGAGAAGGCAAAUCGCCUGUGGGUAUAGGAAAGAAAGCUUAACGGAGUGCCGUUGUAAUCGUUGAGUUCGAGUUGAUUGCAGUCCGAGAACGGCAAAUGUUCGUGCACUUCUUUUCACCGGUGAAUCUCAAAAGUACCUCCUUUGGUCCUUUGAUAGAAACAAACACUUCUGAGUAAUUGCUAUUUACUGUUUGAUCAUUUGCGCUCAUACGAAUAUAUUUUUUCUUUCUCUCUUUUCUUUUCUUUUUCUUUUUUCUUUUUUUUUUACACAUUAUGAAAAUUGGAUUUUGCAAAUUUAUUAGACUUUGAUUUUCUUUGAAUUUUAAUUGUUAUACAUGAAGCGAAAAUUAAGAUCAUCGAGUAAUUAUUGCUCGAUCAUUUGCGAUUUAUUUAUUUCUUCUUUUCUUUUAUUUAUUGUUU
This is a long non-coding RNA of Vespa crabro (European hornet), 1056 nucleotides long. RefSeq lists it as uncharacterized. The record is from RefSeq and is a predicted model, not a curated record. NCBI's taxonomy places the organism in Eukaryota, Metazoa, Arthropoda, Insecta, Hymenoptera, Vespidae. The transcript has 3 exons.